GACGAACGCUGGCGGCGUGCCUAAUACUUGCAAGUCGAACGAGAGCGACCGGUGCUUGCACUGGUCAAUCUAGUGGCGAACGGGUGAGUAACACGUGGGUAACCUGCCCAUCAGAGGGGGAUAACAUCCGGAAACGGAUGCUAAAACCGCAUAGGUCUUCGAACCGCAUGGUUUGAAGAGGAAAAGAGGCGCAAGCUUCUGCUGAUGGAUGGACCCGCGGUGCAUUAGCUAGUUGGUGAGGUAACGGCUCACCAAGGCCGUGAUGCAUAGCCGACCUGAGAGGGUGAUCGGCCACAUUGGGACUGAGACACGGCCCAAACUCCUACGGGAGGCAGCAGUAGGGAAUCUUCCGCAAUGGACGCAAGUCUGACGGAGCAACGCCGCGUGAGUGAAGAAGGUGUUCGGAUCGUAAAACUCUGUUGUUAGAGAAGAACAAGUGCUAGAGUAACUGUUAGCGCCUUGACGGUAUCUAACCAGAAGGCCACGGCUAACUACGUG
This 498-nucleotide ribosomal RNA is filed under the name uncultured bacterium. RNAcentral's name for it is "partial 16S ribosomal RNA". It matches the Rfam family "Bacterial small subunit ribosomal RNA", at positions 28 to 507 of the family's 1533-position model. The record is from RNAcentral.